RNAcentral lists this long non-coding RNA (289 nucleotides) under Cyanistes caeruleus (blue tit). RNAcentral describes it as "lncRNA (ENSCCEG00000010878.1)". The record is from RNAcentral. Lineage: Eukaryota; Metazoa; Chordata; Aves; Passeriformes; Paridae.
CUCUUCUAAGAGUUUUUCUAACCCCAGGAGAAGAGCCUGAUUGCUAUAUUACACCAGUAGAAGGUGAAGCACUCUGAUAUCUGUUUAAUCUCUGUAGCCAUGUAAGGCAAAGAAGACUGAGUUCUGUCUUCAUUUUACAGAUGUGAAAAUGGACAAGGAUUUGGAAAAGGCCUCGAGGUGUAUCUGUGCUGGAUAUAGAACUGAGUUAUUUCUGUCAGAUGUAUCCUCCUGGGUCUUUUUUGUUCAGGAGGUCCUCAAGUGCUGUGGAAAAAUAGAAGAGUGUCAAUAA